GUCCACUGCAGCCACAUGGGGAGGACACAGCCUGGUCCAGGACCUUUCCAUCAAUUUAAUUCCAAUAGAAUCCAGCCUCUUUCUUUGUAUGAUUUUGAAGGUAGAGUUGGUUUUGUCUUCUUGCUUACUGCCUCCUUUCGCUUGUUUAAAUAUUUACCUUACAUUUUCCCUACUCUGACUAGGGGAGACAUUUUGCUAACUUAAAAUAGUUGAGCGACAUUGUCCUCCACAGUCCCUUCUGGAGAUGUGAAUUUCCUUCAAACCUCUGAGAUUGGGGUUUAAGCCAUCUCUUCUGGAAUUCUCUCAUGGGGAGAUAAUUGAGUUCAACCGUUCCUUCAUACCAGGACCAGGUACCAGUUGUUAAAGAAUUAUGGAAAGCUAUUCCAGAGAACAUGUUGCCCACUUUUAGAUAUCUGCCUGAGCUCCACAGAUUCAGCCAGAGUCCAUUUAUACAAUGCUAAAUGAGAGUUUCCCACAUACAGGGAACUCUAACAUCUCCAGAUAAAUAGCUCUGCAAGGAGAAAAUGCAAAUUAUGACUUAAAGUCAGCCUCUACUUUUGUGCAGUGCAUACCAAUGUGGCUUUACCCUUUAGCUAGAGCAAUGGAGCUACUACUUCUUUUAUGCAGAUAGAUGCCCUGCAUGAGUUUGUUUCCUGAGACUGUUGGAAAAAUAAAUAGACUAUUAGCUACUUGGUUUCCUCUUUAGAAACCCAGCAGGCACAACAGGGAGAGACAUUAGUCUUUAAGCACCAGUUCUACGAAACAACCACACCAUAGAGCACUUGGAGCGGAACUGAAAAAGGUUAAAACAAGUCCAGAGAAAGGGUGUGGGCAGUCAGAUAGUUUAGCAGACGCUAAGCUUGUGCCAGGGACUUUUAUAAUCAAGGCUUUUGCAAUAGUGAUUUUGUAACAAGUAAAGAAUCCACACACAUGAGGAGGAAGUGUAAGAAAUCAAUUAAAACUUCAGAGAAUGAAACGUGGAAGGCAUAAAGCACCACACACUAAGAGACAAGGGGAAGAAUUAGUCACAGAAAUAAUCAUGAGGAAAGUGCAAUUGUGGGAUCAUACAAGCUGAGGAUGCCUAGAGGGAUCCCUGGAUGUCUGUGAGCUGUAAGGCUCAAGUGGAUUCCUGCAGUGCUCAGCAAGCCUCGCCAGGCCCCAUGUGCACAGGUGUGGGGGUCUUGCUCUGUCAUCCAAGCUGGAGUGCAGUGGUACAAUCACGGCUCACUGCAACCUGGACCUCCAGUGCUCAAGCAAUUCUCCCACCUAAGCCUCCUGAGUAGCCAGGACUACAGGUGUGUGCCACCACGCCCAGCUAAUUUUCUUUUAUUUAUUUAUUUAUUUAUUUAUUUAUUUAUUUAUUUAUAGAUAGGGACUCACUAUGUUGCCCAGGCUGGUCUCAAACUCCUGGGCACAAGUGGUCCUCUGUCCUUGAUUGGCCUCCCAAAGAGUUGAGAUUAUAGGCAUGAGCCAUCAUGCCAGGCCAGACGUGUGUUGUUUUUAAGCUACCAAGUUCACAGAAAUUUGCUACUGCAGCAAUGGGAAACUAAUAGAACGGGAAAGAGACACAGAGAUGUUUUACUGAAGAAGGUAUACAGACAGAAAUAAGCCCAUGAAAAUAUGUACACUUUCUUUUUCUUUUCUUUUCUUUUUUUUUUUUUUUUGAGAUGGAGAUUCACUCUUGUUGCCCAGGCUGAAGUGCAUGAUCUCAGCUCACUGCAACCUCUGCCUCUCAGGCUCAAGCGAUUCGCCUGUCUCAGCAUCCCAGGUAGCUGGGAUUACAGGCAUGUGCCACCAUGCCCGGCUAAUUUUGUAUUUUUAGUGGACACGGGGUUUCUCCAUGUUGGUCAGUCUGGUCUUGAACUCCAGACCUCAGGUGAUCCGCCCACGUUAGCCUCCCAAAGCACUGGGAUUACAGACAUGAGCCACCGUGCCUGGCCAAAAACAUGUACAUUUUCAUUAGCCAUUAGGGAAAUGAAAAAUAAAAACCACAAUGGGAUCUCACCACACACCCAUCAGCAUGGCUAAAAUAAAAAGUAGUGACAGCAUCAAAUGCCAGUUAGAAUGUAGAGAAACCAGAUCACUCACACAUUGCUGGUGGGAAUGUAAUGGUGCAGCCAUUCUAGAAAACUUCGGGAGUUUCUUUAAAAAACUAAACGUGCAACUACCAUAUCAUCCAGAAAUUGCACCCUGGGACAUUUGUCCUAGAGAAAUGAAGACUUAUCUUAUGUUCCUACAAAAACCUGCACAUGAAUAUUUACAGCAACUUCAUUCGUAAUAGCCCAAGAACUGGAAACAACCCCCGUGUCCUUCAACAAGUCGGUAAAUGAUUAAGCAGACUGGUUCAUCCAUACCAUGAAAUACUACUCAGCCAUGAGAAGAAACAGCCUUGAUACACAAAGCAACCUGGAUAAAUCUCCAGAGAAUUAUCCGGAGUGGAAAAAGCCAAUCCCCAAAGGCUGCUACACAGUCCGUGACUGCAUUAGUUUAACAUUCUUAACAUGACAAAAUUAUAGAGAUGGAGAACAGGUUGGUGGUUGGCAGGAGUUAAGGAGGAGGAGAGGGCAUUGACAAGGGAAGGAAAUGGGUAUGUCUAUAAAAAGGCAACUUGAGGACCCCUUGUGAUGAUGGAAAUGUUCUGUUUCUUAGCUGUAUCAAUGCCAGGGUCUUGGCUGUGAUACCGUACUGCAGUUUUGCAAGAUGUUACUAUCGGGGGAAAUUAGGUAAAGUGUUCAUGGGAUCUCUGCAUUAUUUCUUACAACUGCAUAUGAAUCCACGAUGAUCUCAAAAUAAGAAGUUUAAAACCACAAAUGUGGGGAGGAGAGAGGCAGAAGUGUUUGAAAAGGCUAGAAAUUAUCAAACAACAAUUUUAAAGUUCUAUUCAUAAACAAAGUAGAACUAUUUGAUUUCCCAUUGUAAAUAGAAAAUGUGAUUUUACAUGCCCAGUACAACAUAUAUGCUUAAUAAAUAUUUGUUGGAAAGAUGGUGGUGGGGGUGGAUGGAUGGAAAGCGAAUAGCUGCAAAUCCUGUCAGCAGGCAGUGUAGGGGCAGAGAGAGGAUGAAGGAAAAAGAAAAGACAAAGAGAUAAAGAAGGAGGAGGAAGGGGGAAAAAGAGCAGAAGAAGAGAAAUAAGAAGAGAGAAAGGAGGAAAUGAAGGGGAAAAGGAGGAAGAGGAAGAAGGGGAGGAAGGGGGAGGAAGAGGAAGAGAAAGAGAAGUCAGGGGAGAUGAGAAGCAUGGUGCUUUGUGGCAUAUUGACGGUGGGCAAGGCUGUGGAUUUUUCUGAGCAGCCUUGGUGUGGAGAAAAGACCUCCCAGGGUGCAUGGCGCCCGCAGACACCCUGGCUAGGCUGCCCCUUGUUGGGUGGAACUGCUCCCUCCCUCUUUGCUGGGCACCUACUUUGUCCCCUGGUGGGUGGCUCCUGUAUGGGUGAGGUAUUCCAGCUCUCUGGGCCCUUUCCUUCUCACCCUGUAUCGGCACAGCUCCAGCACCAGGUCAUGGUCACAGACAGUCAGAAUGUGCUGAUGGAAUUUUCCUGUUGAUUUAAGCUAGUGAGACCUUGCUUGUCCUGGAAAAACUGGACAUGAGAGAGGUAGGGGGAACAGGAAUUGCUUUCCAAGAAUCUCCCUCAUAUGGGGUGCUCUGAAGGCCUCUUUUGUCAUCUCCUUCUCCUUGGGAAGGGGUUCCUGGAAAGGUGCUGGUGCAGGAGGGCACUGGUGCAGGUAGCAGCUGGUGCAGGUGGGCGCUGGUGCAGGUGGGAGCUGGUGCAGUGCUGGACUUGUGUUCCCUGGAGACAGGGCCAUGAUCUUCUCUCCCAUGUGUCAAAUCAGACAAUGGACACUGAAACACUGCGCUGGGGCCUCAGGAGGAGGAUGAGGAACAGGAUAGGGGGACACCCACCUCUCUCUGCCCAGGACGACUCAGGGGUGUGCCUCCUAGCAGCUGUGAAAACACUAAAGGAUUUACAACAUUCCCGCUUAUGUGGGAUUUGGAUUCAUUUCCACAGCUCUACCUAUGAGUAAGAGAAUCUAUUCAGCAACAUGACAUCACGGAAUGGCAAGAGUGACAGCUGCAGAGACUGGAGUACAAUGGUGUGAUCUCAGCUCAACGCAACCUCCACCUCCUGGGUUCAAGUGAUUCUCGUGCCUCAGCCUCCUGAGUAGCUUGGAUUACAGGCCUCUGCCACCACACCUGGCUAAUUUUGUAUUUUUAGUAGAGGUGGGGUUUCUCCAUGUUGGUCAGGCUGGUCUUGAACUCCCGACCUCAAGUGAUCUGCCUACCUCAAACUCCCAAAGUGCUGGGAUUACAGGCGUGAGCCACCGCGCCCAGCCAGAAGGAGCACUUUCUAAACAAGCUAGAAAUCCCAGAAGCCAUCAACAAAGGGGGAGAUAUAUGUUGACUACAUGAAAAUUAAACAUUUUAUAAGAGAAGGAUCCAUGAGCAAAAUCAAAGAGCAAACAACAGACUAGGAAAUGUAUUUCCAACACACAAUCAAUCUCUUAAACCAUUGAAAAACUAUGAAUUAAUUAUACUUUUAAAAGAUAAAUUUAAAUUGUAGCAAGAAAAUGCUAAAGGACUAUGAGCUGCUAAUUUGCAGAAGAAGCAAUCCAAGCACCCAGAAAACACAUGAAAGGAGACUCAGAGAACAGAAAUUCAACAAAUGAGGCAACAGGGCCACCUAAGGUUUUAGGGUGACCAACUUGUCCUUGUUUGCCCAGGAGUCUCCUAGUUUUGAAACUCCUUAGUCCUGGGCAAACUGAGAUGGUUGCCCUUGACAGAAGAAAGAAAAGCCUGAAUCAGGUAUUUGAACUUUGAAUGGACCAAGAGUGUACUCAAUGAGAUUGAGUUAACCCCAAAAGACUUAAACCCCAGAAAGAGACUAAGUGGACUUCAAUGAGCAGCUUUGUGUUUUCUUACCAUUAAGGGAUUAGGGGCUCCAGGAUGAGGUGGCAGCAAUUCUAGGCAGUAAAGAAAGUUACUGACAUGGCUGGAAAGUUUGUAUACAAAGGUGGUUUAGGGUCAUGUGGGGGCUGAAACCUAGCUCAUGCUCUGCUUGUCGAGCUGUGUGUCCUGGUGUGGGGCUGAGCCCGUCUGGACCAAGGGAUGCCCUUGACUCUGCACACAGGUGUGCAUGGGUUAGAGGGACCCUAGUGAUGGCCGUCCUGUCAUCUGGGCUUGGUAGAGCCCAGGCCCAAAGCAUGGUGACACUCAGAGGACACACUCCUGCAUGGUCCAAGGCAGUGUUUCAGGGAAGAAUCUGUCUGGGUGGAGGCCUGGUGGGCUGGAGGGCUUGGAGGUGUCUGUGAGGUUGCCCUGCAGGCCCUGACCUCUCAGAGAUUGUACUGAGGGAGUGCCAGUCCUCCUGGUUGUCUGACUGGCUGUGCCCCCACUGCCACCCUCUCAGCCUACAGCCUCUUGCUCUUCACUCAGCCAGCUCCACAGGAACCUUUUUACAUUCUGAGCUCAGCAGUUCUUCUUCCCCACAGCCAGGCCCCUGGCCCCCUCCUCCCUGUAGCCUUCCUUGCCUGGGCUCUGAGAACCUGCCCUGACUGCAGACUGGGGUCUUUGUUAAUCUAGAUGAGGGCCCGGGGGCUGAGCUUCAGGUCUCAGAAUGUGCUUUCUAAGGUGGCCACCUUGAGACCUCCCAUCCCAUAAGCUCUUCUUACAAUGUGUUGUUGACUUUCCUCCCAUUGAGAGGUGGGGGUGCCUUUGAAUUUGGGAGGGACUAUGUCAUACAACUAUGACAAAAGUGACUGUCUUCAUCUGUUUUCUAUUGUUAUAACAGAAUAACACAGACUUGGUGAUUUUUUUUUUUUUUGAGACAGGGUCUUGCUCUGUUGCCCAGACUGGAGUGCAGUGGUUUGAUCUCGACUCACUGCAACCUCCAUCUCCUGGGUUCAAGUGAUCCUCCCACUUUAGCCUCUGGAGUCACUGGGACUACUAUGUGCACAACACCACACCCAGCUAAUUUCUGUAUUUUUUGUAGAGAUGGGGUUUCACCGUGUUGUCCAGGCUGUUCUCAAACUCCUGGGCUCAAGUGAUGCACCCACCUCAGCAUCCCAAAGUGCUAGGAUUACAGACAUGAGCCACCACUGUGCCCACCCCAGACUGGGUGAUUUAUAAAGAAAAUAAGGGGUUUUUUUGGGCUCAUGGAGGCUGGGAAACCCAAGAGCAUGGCACUGGCAUCUGGUGAGGGCUUUCUUGCUGCAGCAUCUCGUGGUGGAAGGACAAGUGAACAUGACAGACAGAGAAUGGAGGCUAAACUUAAGCUUUUUAUCAGGAGUCUACUCCCAUGAUAACUAACCUGCUCCCACAAUAAUGGCCUGAAUGCAUUCAUUAGAAUGGUGUCCCUGUGACUUACUCACCUCUUAAAGGCUCCGUAUCUUAAUACUGUUACAGUGUCAAUUAAAUCUCAACAUGAGCUUAGUAGAGGUCAAACAUUCAAACUCCAGCAGUGACAUUAUGUGAGGCUCAUUCCUAAAAGGCAAUACAGCUUCUGCCUGGUUCUCUUGGGACACCUGCUCUUGGAAUCCAGCUACCAUGCUGUGAGGAAGCCCAAGCCUCCUGGAGAGGCCAUGUGUGGCUCUUCUGACUGAGCUGACAACCAGAUUGGUUAUGGAAACUUCUGAGAUGGCUCCAGCCCCAAUUAACCUCGAUUGUGUAAGAAACAUCUAGCUGAACCCAUUCAACCGCCAGAACUGUGAGAGGUGAUAAUAAAAAUAUUGCUCAUGUUUUAAGCCACCGUGUUUUGGGAUGAUUUGUAAACAGCAAUAGAUAAUUGGUGCCACAAUUCUGGCAGCAGAGCACUAAGACCAAAACCCUGUUAUAAGCUUCUGCUCUGAUCAUUUAACCCCUACCACUUUCCUGGGUGAUCAGCCAUUUGUUCAACUUGCAUUGGGUGAGCAUUCGCCUCAUGCCAGGCUCUGUGUCACACUGAGGGCCCAGUGAGGGGUGAACAAACAGACUUGGUGCUGGCAUUCAGAGAAGGGACAUCUGUUACUCGGGAGACCCUCAUUCCCCUUAUCUCAUGAAGUGAAGGGGAUCUGGUCCCACCUGGCUUCUUCCCUCUUCCUUUCCCUGCAGCCAGGCUGGGCCUGGAGUGUCCUAGCACAUGUCACUCUAGUGACUGAAUUCUGGACAUUAUUAUUGGCUUCCUGUGAGAACCGAAGCAGGGGCCCUUGAGGGAUAAGAUCAGAUGAACAGGUUUAAACCAAAAGGGAGACAAAGCCACCCCAAACUGAGAGGCAGGAUGGAGUACAGGGAGACGUCCAGAAAGCAGGGACCUAAUCUAGGAUGGGGAGAUUUGAAAGACAGGAAGGAGGGUCUGUGCUGGUGGUUGGCAUUGUUGGGGCGCCAAGGGGGUCACUCAGGGUGGUGUCUCUCAUGUGGCCUUUGGUUCUUUCUCCAGAGAAGCACUCAGGCGAGGAGGCUGGGUCAUGUUUCAGGGUUGUUAAAAAUACAGCAGUAACUCACUGAGUGCCGCCUUCUAUGGGGUUGGCCUGGGGAGCUGUAAAGUAUAAAGGGAAACCUCUUCCCCAGGUGCAAGGACCUGCUGCUGGCAGUUGAUGGAGCAACUGUGGGAGUGGUGAUUGGCUGCUUUGAGGAGGCCCAAGAAGUGAGCUGCCACCUCACAACUCCAGGGGCUGGGCAAGGAUGAGAGAGUCUCAGAUUCAUUGCUGGGGCUUGGAGUCUAAGGGGCAUGGAGGGAUGUAGUAGUCAGCUAGAGCUGCCAUAAUAAAGCACCAGAAACAGGAUGGCUUACACAACAGAAAUGUAUUUUCUCAUCGUUCUGCAGACCAGAAGUCCAAGAUCAAGGGGUCAGCAGGAUUGUUCCUCCUGAGGGUUAGGAGGGAGAAUCUGCUCUAGGCCUCUCUCCUGGUUUCUAGUGUUUGCCAGCAAUCUUUGCCAUUUCUUGGUUUGUAAAAGCAUCACCUGAUUUCUGCCUUGGUCUUCAGGUGAUGUUCUCCCUGUCUGCAUGUUUGUGUCUAAAUUUCCCCUUUUUAUAAGGACAUCAGUCAUAUUGGAUUAGGACUCACCCUUCUCCAGUAUUACUGCAUCUUAACUUGAUUACUUCUGUAAAGAUUUCUUCUCCAAGUGAAGUCACAUUCUGAGGUACUGGUUAGGACUCCAGUGUAUGGCUUUGAAGGGACACAAUUCACCCAUAACAUGAGACGAUAAUGUCAACCAGGCACCUAGUUCUAUAGCUGACUUCUUGAUCUCAGGUAAUGUGCUCAACAACUCUGUGAUAAAAAUACUAUACAUUUUUUUCUAAUUAUUUAUUAUAAAAUUUUAAAAACAUACAGCAGUCACUACUAAAAAUACAAAAAAUUAGCUGGGUGUGGUGGUGGGUGUCUGUAGUCCCAGCUACUCGGGAGGCUGAGGCAGGAGAAUGGCGUGAAUCUGGGAGACAGAGCUUGCAGUGAGCUGAGAUUGCACCACUGCACUCCAGCCUGGGCGACAGAGCAAGACUCUGUCUCAAAAAAAAAAAACAAAAAAAACCCAAACAUACAGCAAAGCUGAAAGAAUUUUACAGUGAGCACCCUUCCCAUAUGCCCACUAGCUACAUUCUACUAUUGACAUUUUACCUUAUUUGCCUUGUCACAUAAUCUGUCCAUCUAUUCAUCCUCAAUCCACCCAUUAAUCCACCUUAUUUUCUGGUGCAUUUCAAAGUAAAUUGCAAACAUCAAUACGUUUUUCCCUAAAGUUAGCAGUCAAUCAUUAACUAGAGUUCAAUAUUUUCUUUACAGAUUUUUCUUCUGAGGUACAAUGAAGUGCUCAAAUCUUAAGUAUACAUUUAUUGAGUUUUAAGGAAAGCAAACAGCUGUGUAAUCCAAAUGCCUAGCAAGAUAUAGAACAUUACCAUCACCAUGGAAAUUUCCCUCAUGUCCUUUCCCAAUCUCUGCCUCCACCCCUCAGAGGCAACCACCAGUCGAUUUUUCCACUGUAGCUUAGUUUUGCCUGUUCUAGAACUUCAUAAAAAGUGGAAUCAGAUGCAAUUUACUCAUUCAUUUAAGGCUUCUUCCACUGAUCGUCAUGUUGUCAAGCUUCAUCCGUGCUGAAUGAAUGUUGUAGUGUGUAUCUGUAAUUCAUUGCUCCUUAUUGCUGAGUAGUAUCUCAUUGUAUGGACGUGCCACACUUCUCCUGAUGAGCCUCUGGGCUGUUUUCAGCUCUCGGCUACUGCAAAUAAGUAUGUAUUUGCAUCUCCAUUUUAGGGAUAACGAAGUGAUGCUCAGGAAGUUUAAGUGGCUUGUUGAAGGUCAUAUGGGUCAUGAGGGGCAGAACCAAGAUUUGAACUCAGCCAGAUUGGUCAGAUGCCAGAGCCUAAAGCAUUUUCUUUUUAAUUCCUUUGUGAUAUGUUUGCUUUCCGUGGUGUGGGGUGGCCUGGGAAGUAAAGUAUACCAUGGGAUGUGUAUUUUACCUUCAUCUGACUGAUUUGCAUUAUAGUCAGGCAGUCUGCAAUUGCAAGAGUGGUUUUGAGUCCCUGCUUCACCAUUUACCAGCCGUGUGACCCUGGGCACAUGACUAAACUUGCUUCUGUCUCUGCUUCCUGAUCUGUACAAUGGGGAGAUAACAGCAUACAUAGGGUUGUUGUGAGGGUUAAAUAACGAAUUAAUAUAUGAAAGCCCAGUGACUGUGCCAGGCAUAUGGUAAGUGCCAUAUGAAUGUGAGAUAUUUGACAAUUAUCUCUUGAGCACUAUCUCCAGGCCACAUCCAUGUGCUAAGUAUACAAGGAUGACUAACGCAUUGUAUCGGGCCCACCUUGUCUGCACCUUUCAUCCUCUGGAUAGAUCCCUCUUUUCCUGUGGCCAUUGGUGAGGCCAUCAGCUUCAAGCAGGUAUACCUGUCGGCAUCUUGCCUUGUUGUUCCCUCCUCUCUAUGAGGAACUGCCAUACCCUUCUCCACCGCGGCUGCGCCACUUCACAUCCCAGCAACAGUGCACAGGGGUUCCAGUGUCUCCACAUGCUUGCCAACAUGUCUCCCUCCUUUCCUCCCUCAUUCCCUCCCUCCCUUCCUUCCUUCCUUCUUUCUUUCCUUCCUU
RNAcentral lists this long non-coding RNA (10037 nucleotides) under Homo sapiens (human). RNAcentral's name for it is "non-protein coding lnc-DISP1-8:5". The record is from RNAcentral. Lineage: Eukaryota; Metazoa; Chordata; Mammalia; Primates; Hominidae.